Molecule: ribosomal RNA, 253 nt
Filed under: uncultured bacterium
Lineage: Bacteria
Description: partial 16S ribosomal RNA
Rfam family: Bacterial small subunit ribosomal RNA
Source: RNAcentral
UACGUAGGGGGCAAGCGUUGUUCGGAAUUACUGGGCAUAAAGGGUGCGCAGGCGGAUUGUUAAGCGAGAGGUGAAAUGUCAAGGCUCAACCAUGACACUGCCUUUUGAACUGGCAAUCUGGAGUACAGAAGGGGAGAGCAGAAUUUCCGGUGUAGGGGUGGAAUCUAUAGAUAUCGGAAGGAAUACCGUUCGCGAAGGCGGCUCUCUGGUCUGUUACUGACGCUCAUGCACGAAAGCGUGGGUAGCAAACAGG